ACUCAAAUGAAUUGACGGGGACCUGCACAAGCGGUGGAGCAUGUGGUUUAAUUCGACGAUAAGCGAGGAACCUUACCAAGUUUUGACAUGCAGCUGCAAAUUUCUGGAAACAGAAACUUCUUCGAGAGUGCUGCACAGGUGCUGCACGGUUGUCGUCAGCUCGUGCCGUGAGGUGUUCACUUAAGUGUGAAAACGAGCGCAACCCCUAUUGCAAGUUACAAGUGUCUUGCGAAACUGCCCGCGUCUAAGCGGGAGGAAGGUGGGGAUGACGUCAAAUCAGCGUGGCUCUUACAACUUGGGCGACACACGUGCUACAAUGGGUAGGAAUAAAGGGACGCCAAGCCGUAAGGCGGAGCAAAUCCUAGCAAAACUACCCCCAGUUCGGAUUGAGGGCUGCAACUCGCCCUCAUGAAGCCGGAAUCGCUAGUAACCGUGAAUCAGCCUCGUCACGGUGAAUACGUUCUCAGGUUUUGUACACACCGCCCGU
This 487-nucleotide ribosomal RNA is filed under the name uncultured bacterium. Its description in RNAcentral is "partial 16S ribosomal RNA". It matches the Rfam family "Bacterial small subunit ribosomal RNA", at positions 899 to 1397 of the family's 1533-position model. The record is from RNAcentral.